UCCGGUUUAUCACCGGCGGUCUCCUUAGAGUUCCCACCAUUACGUGUUGGCAACUAAGGACAAGGGUUGCGCUCGUUGCGGGACUUAACCCAACACCUCACGGCACGAGCUGACGACAGCCAUGCACCACCUGCACAGAAGUCCCUUGCGGGAGGUUCUGGCUUUCACCAAAAUUUCUUCUGCAUGUCAAACCCAGGUAAGGUUCUUCGCGUUGCCUCGAAUUAAACCACACGCUCCGCUGCUUGUGCGGGCCCCCGCCUAUUCCUUUGAGUUUUAACCUUGCGGCCGUAGUCCCCAGGCGGGGCACUUAAUGCGUUAGCGUCGGCACCGCGGGGGUCAAUACCCACGACACCUAGUGCUCAUCGUUUACAGCGUGGACUAC
This 382-nucleotide unclassified non-coding RNA is filed under the name uncultured bacterium. RNAcentral's name for it is "contains 16S-23S intergenic spacer region". The record is from RNAcentral.